RNAcentral lists this ribosomal RNA (381 nucleotides) under fungal sp. Cul8. RNAcentral describes it as "eukaryotic LSU rRNA". It matches the Rfam family "Eukaryotic large subunit ribosomal RNA", at positions 38 to 422 of the family's 3401-position model. Lineage: Eukaryota; Fungi. The record is from RNAcentral.
GCAUAUCAAUAAGCGGAGGAAAAGAAACCAACAGGGAUUGCCCCAGUAACGGCGAGUGAAGCGGCAACAGCUCAAAUUUGAAAUCUGGCCUCCGGGUCCGAGUUGUAAUUUGUAGAGGAUGCUUUUGGCGAGGUGCCUUCCGAGUUCCCUGGAACGGGACGCCAUAGAGGGUGAGAGCCCCGUCUGGUCGGACACCGAGCCUCUGUAAAGCUCCUUCGACGAGUCGAGUAGUUUGGGAAUGCUGCUCAAAAUGGGAGGUAUAUGUCUUCUAAAGCUAAAUAUUGGCCAGAGACCGAUAGCGCACAAGUAGAGUGAUCGAAAGAUGAAAAGCACUUUGAAAAGAGGGUUAAAAAGUACGUGAAAUUGUUGAAAGGGAAGCGC